CCAGGACCCCAUGAUCACACCCUGAGCCGAAGGGAGACACUCAACCACUGGGCCAGCCAGAACCAAACCUGUAAUAUCUCUGGGGUAUACCUGUAUUGACCUUGGGACGAUAUGUCAGGAGGAGGAUCAUCUGCUUCUAGACCUCAGCUGACUAGCAGGAUUCUGGCCAGUGAGCCACAAGGGUAUAGUCUGCCAAAGGACUUAGGAGAAAGGUGCUCCUCAUGGAAAGAAAUAGGGCCUGCUCCACCCCCAGACAUAUGUUCCUACCCCUCACCUGCAGUUUCUUCUGCCAUUUAGUGACCUUAAGGUAAGCUAACUUAAGAAUGAGCACGAUAGGCUUAAGAAAGCAGAGGAGAAGGAAGAAGAGACUGAUGUAGUCUUUAUACUCAAUGAGCCAACUCUGGA
Canis lupus familiaris (dog) is the source of this 405-nucleotide long non-coding RNA. RefSeq lists it as uncharacterized. NCBI's taxonomy places the organism in Eukaryota, Metazoa, Chordata, Mammalia, Carnivora, Canidae. The record is from RefSeq and is a predicted model, not a curated record. The transcript is spliced from 3 exons.